GAACCCAAGUAGGAAUCCGUGUGAUCACUGUUCUUUUGCCAAGACACGGGGUGGACAAUAAGAUUCCUUUACAAAGAACUUGUGUAAGUGUUUGCCUGGUGCUGCAAAAAGCGGCUCACUGGGAAUGGGGAGGAGCGUGUGGUAAGCCAGAG
Molecule: unclassified non-coding RNA, 152 nt
Organism: Cercocebus atys (sooty mangabey)
Lineage: Eukaryota; Metazoa; Chordata; Mammalia; Primates; Cercopithecidae
Source: Ensembl